Lycium barbarum (goji berry) is the source of this 516-nucleotide long non-coding RNA. RefSeq lists it as uncharacterized. The record is from RefSeq and is a predicted model, not a curated record. The transcript is spliced from 2 exons. NCBI's taxonomy places the organism in Eukaryota, Viridiplantae, Streptophyta, Magnoliopsida, Solanales, Solanaceae.
GUUGUAAGAAAAUGAUUGCAAUCAUUUACAGAUUUUUAUAGCUGGUUCACCUAUCUUUACUUUAUUUGCUAUCCCUGUUAUUUCUUAAAAUACCUACUGAUGUUGCAGGGUUUUUUGGUGCUAUUGGAUAUCUAUGACUAUGAGGAUUAUUUACGCAAGCCGCAAAAAAAAUAAUAGUAACGUGAAGAGGAACAUUGAGGAAGCAUGUUCCAAUUCCAAUCUUCCAUUGAAUAAGCAACACAUUUUGCCCUCUAACUAUUGGCCAACGACGAGCUGGUAACAUGUAGGGACAAGGAAUGAUCCUAUGUUUUGGAUGUAAGCAAUCAUGAGCGGCGGAAGUUGGCUUGUCUGCACCGUGCUCUGAACUUUAGCAGGUUUUUGAGAUCUUCUUGAAGCCCUCUAUCGAUCGAUCUUACCCUUGAAGGGUUUCGUUUAUGUUUUUUCUUCGAUAUUUGGUUUUCUUGUCAAAAUUUUGACUUUUUGGAGCUGUUCAAUGUGAAAUUGAGAUUGUUGCAA